AUUGAACGCUGGCGGCAGGCCUAACACAUGCAAGUCGAGCGGAUGAAGGGAGCUUGCUCCUGGAUUCAGCGGCGGACGGGUGAGUAAUGCCUAGGAAUCUGCCUGGUAGUGGGGGAUAACGUCCGGAAACGGGCGCUAAUACCGCAUACGUCCUGAGGGAGAAAGUGGGGGAUCUUCGGACCUCACGCUAUCAGAUGAGCCUAGGUCGGAUUAGCUAGUUGGUGGGGUAAAGGCCUACCAAGGCGACGAUCCGUAACUGGUCUGAGAGGAUGAUCAGUCACACCGGAACUGAGACACGGUCCAGACUCCUACGGGAGGCAGCAGUGGGGAAUAUUGGACAAUGGGCGAAGGCCUGAUCCAGCCAUGCCGCGUGUGUGAAGAAGGUCUUCGGAUUGUAAAGCACUUUAAGUUGGGAGGAAGGGCAGUAAGUUAAUACCUUGCUGUUUUGACGUUACCAACAGAAUAAGCACCGGCUAACUUCGUG
This 484-nucleotide ribosomal RNA is filed under the name uncultured bacterium. RNAcentral's name for it is "partial 16S ribosomal RNA". It matches the Rfam family "Bacterial small subunit ribosomal RNA", at positions 30 to 507 of the family's 1533-position model. The record is from RNAcentral.